Long non-coding RNA from Homo sapiens (human), 2270 nucleotides. Ensembl annotates it as long intergenic non-protein coding RNA 943. NCBI's taxonomy places the organism in Eukaryota, Metazoa, Chordata, Mammalia, Primates, Hominidae. The record is from Ensembl.
AUUAUGACCAGUCUUGGAACUAGGAUUGGGGUGGGGUUCAUCCCACCCAGACCACAGAGACUGAAAAUAAGAAAGGGGUGAGGCCUAAGGGACAAUCAGGAUGUUUUUCAGAGAGAAGUGUGGAUGCUGGACAGGAAGAACCACAGAUACCAGAUACGGGACAUACUUUAUUCAGCUGGGUGCUGAAAAAGAAUCUUGGAAAUUAGGAAACUGAAUGAGGCCUCAUUUCACACUCAGAAUGUGGGUUGCAAUAGUCACUUCCUCUGCUGCUGGGAAAGAAAGAAUUAUACUACCUUUUGAAUUUUGGAUUAAGGAGAGAGGUGUUGGCUUGUCAAACUACCAUGUAUUCCUCAAGACAUAUUUUUGUGGCUUUAUAAAAUUCAAUAUAUAUGUCUAAAUUCAAAAAUAUUUUGUUGCAAUCUGGCCCUUGGACAAACUGAGGCCCUAGCAACUGAUGUUUAUGGCUUUCCGUAGAACCUUUCAGAUAAAAUUUACACAGCAUUUUACUGCAGCUAUUUCACACAAAGCAGAGGAUUUUGCCACAAAACUGAAAGAAAAAAGAAACUGCAUUCUUAAAUUUUUCAUAAAUCAAAAGGUAUAAAAAUAUCUACCUAAACGAUAAAGGAGAUGAGAAACCCCACCCAUGAUGGGAAGAAAGCCUAUUUCAGUUUUGCCUUUACUUCAAGUUCUUUUUUCCAUAUCUGGAAUGCAAUCAGAAUUUUAAUCUUGCCUUGGGUUCCUCCUGGAUUUGGGGAGAAGACAAAACCUGAAAAUCUCUAAUCUGCAUGUGUUCAGCUGCGUAUCUUCUGGAUACGGAAGGAUCACACUGCACAGAGUGCUGGACUUGCAGGAGCCCCGCUUCUCAACCUCCAUCGCUUUAUGAAUGAAUUCACCAGAAAGAAAAGGAAGAAUCAACACUUUCAGAGAUGGAGCCUGUUGAGCCACAGUACCAACUAGUCAAUGCUGAAUCGACUUCUCCCUUUCUACAUUGCCUGAGAGAAGUCAUUGGGGAAUACUCUAGAGUCAAGGGAUUGGAUUGUGGAUUGCAUUGGUGGUUUUCCUCAGUUUCCUCAUCUUCUCCACAAGUUUCUACAUAUCGAAUGCAGAGCAGCCCUUCUUCAAAGGACCUCCUACGGAAGCUGCUAAGGAACUCAGUCUGUAGCUCUGCGUGGAGCCAUGUGUAAACACUGAACUGAGACCUGCCACCUCCUACUACCUAAGGGCCCAUUUUCAUCUGAUAUCAUCCCCCAGAAACAAACUCAUGAUGACUUCCAUGUUUUUUUUAGAUUAGAUACAUGGAGAAUUUUCCUUUCCCUUAGAAUUAAAAUCCUGCAUUCUAAUUUUCAGUAAGCUUUUUUAUUUCUGAAUAAUUUUAAAUUUAAAGAGAAGUUGCAAAGAUAGUAUAGAAUGUUCCCUUAUACCUGUUUUUAUUUAGAGUGAUGUUCCCAGGAGAAAUGAUAAUGCAGCAAUGGACAAGAACAGGAACAAGAGACAGUCUUACCAUCUUCUUACAAUUUAUAGAUGGGACAGUGGAAAGAGAAGCCACAUCGGGGUUGGGCAUGCAGAGACCUGGUCCUAAAUCUGUGUGACUUUUGCGAAAUCCUUUUGCCUCACAGAGCUCUAGGUUCUUAUCUGUCAAACAGGAACCAGACCAUCAGAUCCGUAGAGAUCCAACCAAUGAAGGAGACUUCGAAAACUUCACAUUGCCGUGUCAAUGUGAGGUUGCUGGAUGGUUAUGACAAGAAAUCACAUUAAAUUCACUGGGGUAACAUUGUUCAUGAAACGGGAUAAUGUGUUUCAGCGAUGAACCACCCAUGGCCUUACUACAGACAUAUUUCCACUUUGAAAAUGUGUGUGAGUGUACAUGUCUGUGUGUGAGGCAGAGAUUAGAAAGUGUAAAUGUGUGCGUUUUCAUUUUACACAUCUUACAUUUUCCUUUAAUUUGUUUGAAAGCCUGUUUUGUUUGUGGCUUCCAUUCCUGGAAGUCCCAUGAGUUGUUAGUGGUGAAGAUGGAACAGAUGUGUCCAACCCGGGGGACUCCUGCCCUCAGGGACUGAGCAGCUGCAAACCUCUCUCUCAUCUGAUUCCACUGUUUCUUCCACAUGUACACAUCAUGAGAAAUAUUGUUCAAUCAAUAUCUUCCCUUAAAUCAACUCAUAUGCUUAUUUACAUGAAUUUACCUAAAACAGAAACUUGAUAUCACUUCUGUAAAUGAAAAAAUUAAACUUUCUGGCUUUAAAUAAAGCAUAACAAUAAUAAUCAUGUCAAAA